CUCACUUUUAACUACACCCCCACUAAAGUUUCCUGCUGAAAAAGCCUUGCAGCCAAGCAUCAUGACUUACUUUUUGACAAGUCCUCACAAAGAGAAAUGAAUCUUUCUCUCUCACAUUUCUCACACUGGAGCUUUAACCUCUGGGCUGAUGCAAUGCGAUGCUGAGGAUCUUACUUGAGGACAUUGCAGCAGGAUGAUGUGUUGCUAUCAUAGACGCCAGAGAAGCCUCAUUUGGAAUGAACUUAGUCAUUAAACCUCUGUGGAGUCAGUACUUGACCUCCAAAAUACUACAGAGAACAGUGCUGCACGCUGAGCUGGCUGAUGAUGAUCUUUUGAUGAGCAUCCUGGAGGAAGCUGGGAAACCAAUCAGGGGUAUCUUCCCACGAUCUGGCUGGGAUAGAGCCAGAAAUAGGGAGAUCCUCGGCAGCCAGAGGGGAGGCAAGAGGAGGACAAGUGUCGCUAAUCGUUGUCUCCCUUUAACCCUAAUACCACACACAGGCAGAUAGCAACAUUCCCAUCAGUUACUAGGACAUGAAAUCAACUUAGUCAGUUAACACUUCCUGGAUAUUUAUCCUAAACCCAACCCUACUCUAACCUUAAACCACAUAUCCACUCAUAACUUCAGUUAUUUACAUAAUCAGGACUUUCUGUCCCCAAAAAGUGGAGUGUUCUCACAAUUUGACUGUAUAAACAGAUCUAGGUCCCCAUGCCUAAUAUAACCCCACACUUUGCACACUUGUAAAUCCCCAUGAUACUGACAGUAAGCCACAUUCAUCUCUGAGCCAAGUUCCAACUGGCUCCAACUCAUCACCCCAUUCACAUUAUGACUGAUAAGACUUCAACUGUGUGACACUGGUAAGAAAGAGUAAUGAUCUAUCAAAAAAAAAAAAAGGUCAGCCCAAGAGGAAAUUAGUCUUUAUCCAGUAUUUUCAUUCCUUAGCCACAACAUCAGUGAUGUAACAGUGAUGGUACAAAUGACAAUUAAGCACACUUUGGGUUAAGACCCAUUAGGUGAUCGUUGUGUGCAAGUUUGAUGAGAUUUCUUUCUUUAUUGCCCACCCCCCAAAAAUUACAUUUAAAAAAAAAGAUCUUCUUAUUGUGUUUACAUACACUGCCUAAU
RNAcentral lists this long non-coding RNA (1120 nucleotides) under Oreochromis niloticus (Nile tilapia). RNAcentral's name for it is "lncRNA (ENSONIG00000033483.1)". The record is from RNAcentral. Lineage: Eukaryota; Metazoa; Chordata; Actinopteri; Cichliformes; Cichlidae.